CGAAACCCAGGAAUUCCAGAAGAAGAGAACUUUCCAGAAUCUCAAAUUGGUAAUGGCAGAACACUUAGCUUCAAUUUUCGGUACCGAAAAAGAUAGAGUGAAUUGCCCUUUCUACUUCAAGAUCGGUGCUUGUAGACAUGGAGAUCGAUGUUCCAGGCUCCACACGAAACCCAGUAUUAGUCCGACGAUUCUCCUCUCAAAUAUGUAUCAAAGACCUGAUUCAAUUACCCCUGGUGUUGAUGCUCAAGGCAAUCCUAUUGAUCCUCGCAAAAUCCAGGAACAUUUUGAGGAUUUUUAUGAAGACUUGUUUGAAGAACUGAACAAGUAUGGAGAGAUUGAGAGCCUGAAUAUUUGUGACAAUCUGGCUGAUCACAUGGUUGGUAAUGUUUAUGUUCAGUUUAGUGAGGAAGAGCAGGCUGCAAAUGCACUGAAGAAUCUUACUGGGAGAUUCUAUGCCGGAAGGCCCAUCAUUGUUGAUUUCUCUCCUGUGACUGAUUUUCGUGAAGCCACCUGUCGACAGUACGAGGAAAAUGUCUGCAACCGCGGUGGAUAUUGCAACUUUAUGCACCUCAAAAAGAUCAGCAGGGAAUUGCGACGUCAGUUGUUUGGAAGGUAUAGGACAAGGCACAGCAGAAGCAGGAGCCGAAGCCCUUAUAGGCAUCGCAGCUAUGAAGACCGCUCUCACAGGAGUCAUAGUAGAAAGCAUGAUGAAAGAGACCAUUAUUAUGAGAGUCGGAGCAGGAGGAACAGAAGUACAAGCCCUGACCACAGGAGGGGUAGGAGUAGGAGUCCCGGUGGCAGGAGAGACCGAAGUCCAGUUAGGGAUGGCAGCGAAGAGAGGCGCGCAAGAAUUGAGCAGUGGAACCGGGAAAAAGAACAGGCAGAACUUGAUAACAGGGCUAAUGCAGACAGUAACUACAAAAAUGAAAGCAAUGAGAAUGGAUCUGCUCCUAACCAAGAUCAAUAUUAUGAUCAACAAUGACAAGAAAGUGCAUAUGGAUAAUGAAUGAAUAUAUCGUGCUGGUUUGUGUCCUUAUCCCUUAUGAUUUUUGAUGCUUUUGUUCUGUCCUAAUGUAUUGUCUUCUGAGAGGGCCACCUGCCGUGUAAUAGAGCUUAAUGCCCAUUUUCUACUUGCAGGGGGUGCAGGUUUUCAAUUCUUUGAUAAGCUAUCUGAAAAGUUUUCGACCUUUAAUUUUUUUGGUGUUCUGGCUUUAGAUAUGCUUCUUUUUGUGCAUCAUUCGUUGUUUGUUAUUGCAUCUACCCUUUGAAUUAUUAUUUCAAGUUGAAAUAGUGGUUUGAACAUAAAUUAUCAUUGAAUUUGUAGACUUGAAGUUCCACCCACAAUUUUCAACUGUCACAAACUUCUUAUCCCAAAAACAUAGCUAUUUGAACACAACUUCAACCACCUGCCCUAAAUGUUUGUGUCAUUUCAAUUUGUUUUACAAUUUUGAACUUCUGUUGAGUGUUAUAGGGUGUAUACAUUUUUCUUUGACUUAUUCGUUUUGAUGUGAAAUUCCUCAACAUUUAUCCUAUGUGACAUUGUUCAAAUUUCACAAACUAUUGUGUUAUUGUUUGGGAGAAAAAUAUGUUGUCACAAAGUUUCAAAAACUUGUCGAAUUGGUGGUAAAUUCUCUGCACUGUAAUAAUACCAGUUUCGAAAAAAGAAA
This 1667-nucleotide unclassified non-coding RNA is filed under the name Hevea brasiliensis (rubber tree). Lineage: Eukaryota; Viridiplantae; Streptophyta; Magnoliopsida; Malpighiales; Euphorbiaceae. The record is from RNAcentral.